UUUCCCAGUUUUCUUUUCAACUCGAUUAUUCUUAUUAUUAUCGUCAUCAUCAUCAUCAUCGUUUUCUUCCUCAUCUUCCUCUUCUUCCUCAUCAUCAUUUUCUUCCUCCUCUUCUUCUUCCUCUUCGUCGCCAACAUCUGGAACCAACAUAUGUUUUCUAUUCAAAUCUGUUUCUGAGACGGAAUUUAGACCAUCCAAAAGUUGCUUAGCUUCGUGAUCCCUAAUAUGACCUUCAGGAAGUUUAUAUGUAUAGAAUGCAACAGCAACUCUCUUUCUAACCUCCAUCAUAAUAGUAUUUGUUAAAUGAAGAGCUGAAUAAUAUAGAAAAUGGCUAACUCCAUUAUAAGUCUUAGCAUUUGAUGCAAGUCGUUCUAAAUACUUUUCCAAUUUGUGUAAGGAGGUGAAUUCUCUCUUUUUUGCAAACUGUCGAAUAUGUUGCAAGCAAACAGGUUUUGAAAUAAUCUGGUAAUAGUCUGGGAAAAUAGUCUGUGAUGGAAGGGAUAUAUAAGCCUCAUAUUCUGGAAUCUUCAUAGCCAUGUCACAAGCUUGUAAAAUAGCAUCAUUUAAUGAUUCCCUUCUAUAUUCUAUUUCCUCUGGAGUGAUUUGUUCUUCAUUUAAAUCUUCCAAUUCAUUCCCGGUACCCAAUGUUGAACUUAUAGUACCAAUUUCAAGUUCUUUCCCUAUUUGAGAGCCAUCACCUGUUGUAUCUUUAGAAACAUUAAUUGCUUUCAUAUUACUAGUAACUUCAAACAUUGAUUUCCUAUUUCUUGCAAAUUCUAAAUCUGAUCUUUCUCCUAAACUUACAAUAGAAUCCAUUUCUUCUAACUC
This 828-nucleotide non-coding RNA is filed under the name Cryptosporidium parvum. Lineage: Eukaryota; Apicomplexa; Conoidasida; Eucoccidiorida; Cryptosporidiidae. The record is from RNAcentral.